UUACAUCCUGGGACCAGUUCUUGUAGUAGCUUCAUCCUAGCAUUAAUCUUCUCUCUCCUUGCCUACAGACAUAUAUAUAUAAUCAAGAUAAUUAAAAGCUUAAUUAUAUGUAAUUACUAAUUACCAUGUUUAGCAAAACAUUAGAAGCUCUUAAUCUUACUCUUUCUGCUAAACUAUGGCUAUCAGUGGCUUGGCCUCGACGCGCUCGGACGUGAACAUAUGGUAGCUUCUCGCCGCCGUCUUCUGAGAGAAAAUGAAAAUUCUGGCUUCGUCAUGGGGUGUUGAAAUUACCUUUUUCUCGCGUUCCUUUCUCUUUGUUGAUUUCUGAUGGACUAGUGGAUUGGAAGUCGCCGGAGAUGAGUUGUGGUUACAUUCGGAAUCUAGGGGUUCUUGCUUGACGAACAGUGAUUUCGACCCGGAAUUCGAAAGGGUUGAAUUGGACUCCGGGGAGUUACCGGCGGCGGCGAAGACGGAGAACUUAGAAG
Molecule: long non-coding RNA, 485 nt
Filed under: Solanum lycopersicum (tomato)
Lineage: Eukaryota; Viridiplantae; Streptophyta; Magnoliopsida; Solanales; Solanaceae
Description: partial TCONS_00162208
Source: RNAcentral